Molecule: ribosomal RNA, 312 nt
Filed under: uncultured bacterium
Lineage: Bacteria
Description: bacterial SSU rRNA
Rfam family: Archaeal small subunit ribosomal RNA
Source: RNAcentral
AGCGAAUAGAUACCCAGGUAGUCCCAGCUGUAAACCGAUGCAGACUCGGUGAUGAAAUUGGCUUAUUGCUAAAUUCAGUGCCGCAGGGAAGCCGUUAAGUUUGCUGCCUGGGGUAGUACGGUCGCAAGACUGAAACUUAAAGGAAUUGGCGGGGGUAGCACCACAAGGGGUGAAGCCUGCGGUUCAAUUGGAGUCAACGCCGGAAAUCUUACCGGGGGGUCGACAGCAGAGUGAAGGUCAAGCUGAAGACUUUACCAGACAAGCUGAGAGGAGGUGCAUGGCCGUCGCCAGCUCGUGCCGUGAGGUGUCCUG